This 559-nucleotide ribosomal RNA is filed under the name Hyloxalus bocagei (spotted rocket frog). RNAcentral's name for it is "partial 16S ribosomal RNA". It matches the Rfam family "Bacterial large subunit ribosomal RNA", at positions 1852 to 2610 of the family's 2925-position model. Lineage: Eukaryota; Metazoa; Chordata; Amphibia; Anura; Dendrobatidae. The record is from RNAcentral.
GUCUAGCCUGCCCAGUGACAUUGUUCAACGGCCGCGGUAUCCUAACCGUGCGAAGGUAGCGUAAUCACUUGUUCUUUAAAUGAGGACUAGUAUGAACGGCUUCACGAGGGCUAUACUGUCUCCUUUUUCUAAUCAAUGAAACUAAUCUCCUCGUGAAGAAGCGAGGAUACACUUAUAAGACGAGAAGACCCUAUGGAGCUUUAAACAAUUGAAAUACUUGCUUACAACUUUCAUUCUUCCCGAAAACAUUACUCAAUUAAGCAUUUUAUUCAUAGUUUUAGGUUGGGGUGACCACGGAGUAUAAAUUCACCUCCAUGCUGAAAGAAGUUUUUCUUCUUAUCAAAGAGCUUCAGCUCAAUGCAUCAAUAAAUUGACUCCCAUUGACCCAAUAUUUUUGAUCAACGAACCAAGUUACCCUAGGGAUAACAGCGCAAUCUAUUUCAAGAGCUCAUAUCGACAAAUAGGUUUACGACCUCGAUGUUGGAUCAGGGUAUCCUAGUGGUGCAGCCGCUACUGACGGUUCGUUUGUUCAACGAUUAAAACCCUACGUGAUCUGAGU